This 91-nucleotide ribosomal RNA is filed under the name Hordeum vulgare. RNAcentral also lists the same sequence under 2 other names. The record is from RNAcentral. Lineage: Eukaryota; Viridiplantae; Streptophyta; Magnoliopsida; Poales; Poaceae.
GGAUCCCAUCAGAACUCCGAAGUUAAGCAUGCUUGGGCGAGAGUAGUACUAGGAUGGGUGACCUCCUGGGAAGUCCUCGUGUUGCAUUCUC